Molecule: unclassified non-coding RNA, 336 nt
Filed under: soil metagenome
Description: partial contains 5.8S ribosomal RNA, internal transcribed spacer 2, and large subunit ribosomal RNA
Rfam family: 5.8S ribosomal RNA (bases 1-120)
Source: RNAcentral
GAUGAAGAACGCAGCGAAAUGCGAUAAGUAAUGUGAAUUGCAGAAUUCAGUGAAUCAUCGAAUCUUUGAACGCACAUUGCGCCCGCUAGUAUUCUAGCGGGCAUGCCUGUUCGAGCGUCAUUUCAACCAUCAAGCCCCAGGCUUGUGUUGGGGACCUGCGGCUGCCGCAGGCCCUGAAAACCAGUGGCGGGCUCGCUGUCACACCGGGCGUAGUAGAUUUUAUCUCGCUCAGGGCGUGCUGCGGGUUCCGGCCGUUAAAAAGCCUUUUUUACCCAAGGUUGACCUCGGAUCAGGUAGGAAGACCCGCUGAACUUAAGCAUAUCAAUAAGCGGAGGA